AAGGCUAAAUACUCCUGACUGACCGAUAGUGAACCAGUACCGUGAGGGAAAGGCGAAAAGAACCCCGGCGAGGGGAGUGAAAAAGAACCUGAAACCGUGUACGUACAAGCAGUGGGAGCCCCACCACCAAAGCAUUCUCUGGUGUUGAAGGCCCUGCAAAGCAGCAUCGCGGUGGCGGAGCGUCGUUUGCGACGCCCAACACACAAAACAAGCGGUGAGUGCUUUGGGGUGGGGUGACUGCGUACCUUUUGUAUAAUGGGUCAGCGACUUAUAUUCUGUAGCAAGGUUAACCGCAUAGGGGAGCCGGAGGGAAACCGAGUCUUAAUUGGGCGUUAAGUUGCAGGGUAUAGACCCGAAACCCGGUGAUCUAGCCAUGGGCAGGUUGAAGGUUGGGUAACACUAACUGGAGGACCGAACCGAC
Molecule: ribosomal RNA, 421 nt
Filed under: Salmonella enterica subsp. enterica serovar Tennessee
Lineage: Bacteria; Pseudomonadati; Pseudomonadota; Gammaproteobacteria; Enterobacterales; Enterobacteriaceae
Description: partial 23S ribosomal RNA
Rfam family: Bacterial large subunit ribosomal RNA
Source: RNAcentral